This 318-nucleotide ribosomal RNA is filed under the name uncultured bacterium. Its description in RNAcentral is "bacterial SSU rRNA". It matches the Rfam family "Bacterial small subunit ribosomal RNA", at positions 29 to 334 of the family's 1533-position model. The record is from RNAcentral.
AGCGAACGCUAGCGGCACGCUUUAUACAUGCAAGUCGAACGGAAUAUUCUUUAAUUUCGGUUAAGAAUGUUUAGUGGCAAACGGGUGAGUAAUAUAUAGAAAUCUGUCCUUUUGGGGGAAUGAAUAGUCAUGGGAAACUAUGAGUAAUACAACAUAAGCUCGAAAGAGGAAAGGUUUUGGUUUUGAAAAAAAUUAAAAUCGCUGAAGGAGGAGUCUAUAUCAGAUUAGAUAGUUGGUGGGGUAAAUGCUUACCAAGUCUAUGAUCUGUAGUUGGUCUUAGAGGAUGAUCAGCCACAUUGGGACUGAGAUACGGCCCAA